UACAAAAACAAAACCAAAAACAAACAAAAAA
This 31-nucleotide non-coding RNA is filed under the name Rattus norvegicus (Norway rat). Lineage: Eukaryota; Metazoa; Chordata; Mammalia; Rodentia; Muridae. The record is from RNAcentral.